UAUUUGAAUCAGACGACUGUA
Molecule: non-coding RNA, 21 nt
Filed under: Caenorhabditis elegans
Lineage: Eukaryota; Metazoa; Nematoda; Chromadorea; Rhabditida; Rhabditidae
Source: RNAcentral